Molecule: ribosomal RNA, 2273 nt
Filed under: Salmonella enterica subsp. enterica serovar Pomona
Lineage: Bacteria; Pseudomonadati; Pseudomonadota; Gammaproteobacteria; Enterobacterales; Enterobacteriaceae
Description: partial 23S ribosomal RNA
Rfam family: Bacterial large subunit ribosomal RNA
Source: RNAcentral
CGGGCGUUAAGUUGCAGGGUAUAGACCCGAAACCCGGUGAUCUAGCCAUGGGCAGGUUGAAGGUUGGGUAACACUAACUGGAGGACCGAACCGACUAAUGUUGAAAAAUUAGCGGAUGACCUGUGGCUGGGGGUGAAAGGCCAAUCAAACCGGGAGAUAGCUGGUUCUCCCCGAAAGCUAUUUAGGUAGCGCCUCGUGAAUUCAUCUCCGGGGGUAGAGCACUGUUUCGGCUAGGGGGCCAUCCCGGCUUACCAACCCGAUGCAAACUGCGAAUACCGGAGAAUGUUAUCACGGGAGACACACGGCGGGUGCUAACGUCCGUCGUGAAGAGGGAAACAACCCAGACCGCCAGCUAAGGUCCCAAAGUCAUGGUUAAGUGGGAAACGAUGUGGGAAGGCCCAGACAGCCAGGAUGUUGGCUUAGAAGCAGCCAUCAUUUAAAGAAAGCGUAAUAGCUCACUGGUCGAGUCGGCCUGCGCGGAAGAUGUAACGGGGCUAAACCAUGCACCGAAGCUGCGGCAGCGACACUCAGGUGUCGUUGGGUAGGGGAGCGUUCUGUAAGCCUGCGAAGGUGGCCUGUGAGGGUUGCUGGAGGUAUCAGAAGUGCGAAUGCUGACAUAAGUAACGAUAAAGCGGGUGAAAAGCCCGCUCGCCGGAAGACCAAGGGUUCCUGUCCAACGUUAAUCGGGGCAGGGUGAGUCGACCCCUAAGGCGAGGCCGAAAGGCGUAGUCGAUGGGAAACGGGUUAAUAUUCCCGUACUUGGUGUUACUGCGAAGGGGGGACGGAGAAGGCUAUGUUGGCCGGGCGACGGUUGUCCCGGUUUAAGCGUGUAGGUGUGUGUUCCAGGUAAAUCCGGUUCACUUUAACACUGAGGCGUGACGACGAGGCACUACGGUGCUGAAGCAACAAAUGCCCUGCUUCCAGGAAAAGCCUCUAAGCAUCAGGUAACAUCAAAUCGUACCCCAAACCGACACAGGUGGUCAGGUAGAGAAUACCAAGGCGCUUGAGAGAACUCGGGUGAAGGAACUAGGCAAAAUGGUGCCGUAACUUCGGGAGAAGGCACGCUGACACGUAGGUGAAGUGAUUUACUCAUGGAGCUGAAGUCAGUCGAAGAUACCAGCUGGCUGCAACUGUUUAUUAAAAACACAGCACUGUGCAAACACGAAAGUGGACGUAUACGGUGUGACGCCUGCCCGGUGCCGGAAGGUUAAUUGAUGGGGUCAGCGCAAGCGAAGCUCCUGAUCGAAGCCCCGGUAAACGGCGGCCGUAACUAUAACGGUCCUAAGGUAGCGAAAUUCCUUGUCGGGUAAGUUCCGACCUGCACGAAUGGCGUAAUGAUGGCCAGGCUGUCUCCACCCGAGACUCAGUGAAAUUGAACUCGCUGUGAAGAUGCAGUGUACCCGCGGCAAGACGGAAAGACCCCGUGAACCUUUACUAUAGCUUGACACUGAACAUUGAGCCUUGAUGUGUAGGAUAGGUGGGAGGCUUUGAAGUGUGGACGCCAGUCUGCAUGGAGCCGGCCUUGAAAUACCACCCUUUAAUGUUUGAUGUUCUAACGUGGACCCGUGAUCCGGGUUGCGGACAGUGUCUGGUGGGUAGUUUGACUGGGGCGGUCUCCUCCUAAAGAGUAACGGAGGAGCACGAAGGUUGGCUAAUCCUGGUCGGACAUCAGGAGGUUAGUGCAAUGGCAUAAGCCAGCUUGACUGCGAGCGUGACGGCGCGAGCAGGUGCGAAAGCAGGUCAUAGUGAUCCGGUGGUUCUGAAUGGAAGGGCCAUCGCUCAACGGAUAAAAGGUACUCCGGGGAUAACAGGCUGAUACCGCCCAAGAGUUCAUAUCGACGGCGGUGUUUGGCACCUCGAUGUCGGCUCAUCACAUCCUGGGGCUGAAGUAGGUCCCAAGGGUAUGGCUGUUCGCCAUUUAAAGUGGUACGCGAGCUGGGUUUAGAACGUCGUGAGACAGUUCGGUCCCUAUCUGCCGUGGGCGCUGGAGAACUGAGGGGGGCUGCUCCUAGUACGAGAGGACCGGAGUGGACGCAUCACUGGUGUUCGGGUUGUCAUGCCAAUGGCACUGCCCGGUAGCUAAAUGCGGAAGAGAUAAGUGCUGAAAGCAUCUAAGCACGAAACUUGCCCCGAGAUGAGUUCUCCCUGAGACUUUAGGUCUCCUGAAGGAACGUUGAAGACGACGACGUUGAUAGGCCGGGUGUGUAAGCGCAGCGAUGCGUUGAGCUAACCGGUACUAAUGAACCGUGAGGCUUAACCUUACAACGCCGAAG